GCGCGAGUGGUGAAAUGGUAUACACGCCUGUCUGAGGGGCAGGUGCCGCAAGGCGUGGAGGUUCGACUCCUCUCUCGCGCA
This 81-nucleotide transfer RNA is filed under the name bacterium. RNAcentral describes it as "tRNA-Leu". It matches the Rfam family "tRNA". Rfam says of the family: Transfer RNA (tRNA) molecules are approximately 80 nucleotides in length. Their secondary structure includes four short double-helical elements and three loops (D, anti-codon, and T loops). The record is from RNAcentral.